GUAAGGUGUUAUAAAAUAAGUUUGCCUGUUCGUUUAUAACGCUUUUAAUGCAGUUUUUACCAGACAGUGCGUCAAGUGAACACUAAGGUCAUCGUUGCGUUCUCACGCACGUUGGGGCUCUCGGCGGCUGGAUAUGGCCACUACGGUCACGGAGGACACGGAGGCGAUGAAGUUGUUGCGUACAAGACAAUCCAUGGUGGUUAUGGGCACGACCAUGGUCACGACUACAAGAUCCAUGCGAUCAAGGGCCCUACGUUCGUCGUGAAGACUGUUCACCAUAUCAAAAAAAUUCAUCCUGGAGGCGGCUACCUGGGUCACUACAGCUACGGUAAACAUGGCCAUGGACAUGGCGGAGGGCACGGAGGAUACGGCAAAGUUCUCAUCAUCAAGAGCGGACACGGCCUUGAUCAUGGCCACGGACAUGGUUACAGCCACAGACUUGGCGGGGGCCAUGGCGGCUACGACAGCUGGUGGUGACGCCCAUACCACUUUGUCAAAGCGCCUCUCGUAUACCAAAGAUGCCUUUUAGCAAGCUGCGCUAGAAAUGGGGAUGCUGUCAUUAUGCUGCUGAAGUUUCUGUACUUAAAGAUGAAUUAGUGUGGAAAUAUUGAGGCCUGCUUGAAAUGUUGGCGUGCCACUAAUGUUCCUUCCCAGUGCUGAGCGGGAGCUCGGCUCUUGUGCUUGUACAUAUUAUGUAAAUAAAAGUUCAAGUAUAUGCGA
Dermacentor andersoni is the source of this 720-nucleotide long non-coding RNA. RefSeq lists it as uncharacterized. Lineage: Eukaryota; Metazoa; Arthropoda; Arachnida; Ixodida; Ixodidae. The record is from RefSeq and is a predicted model, not a curated record.